This 289-nucleotide long non-coding RNA is filed under the name Elaeis guineensis (African oil palm). RNAcentral's name for it is "long non-coding RNA (EGUI_LNC061527)". Lineage: Eukaryota; Viridiplantae; Streptophyta; Magnoliopsida; Arecales; Arecaceae. The record is from RNAcentral.
CUUCUUGAGGCCCCCCUUCCAUGCAAGCUUAAGGCAUUCAAGACCAAAGAUGCACUAGAUCCCAGCAUUGAAGACCCCUCUCAGGCUGAAGAUGGUCCCACUUAGAAGCUUAGGCUCUGGUCUAUUAGGAAAACCUCUGAUACAAUCCCAUACCAGAUGCAGAUUGCCUUUGCAUGGACCUGGGUAUUAAUCCAGCAAAGAAGAAGAUCGAAGAAAAUAGAAGCAAAAUUAUGAUAGGCGGCAACCUUAGUAGAUGCUAGGAUUUGACAUUGGAACUAGAGAGAGAGAG